AUUGAACGCUGGCGGCAGGCCUAACACAUGCAAGUCGAACGAGUGGCGGACGGGUGAGUAAUGUCUGGGAAACUGCCCGAUGGAGGGGGAUAACUACUGGAAACGGUAGCUAAUACCGCAUACCAUCGGAUGUGCCCAGAUGGGAUUAGCUAGUAGGUGGGGUAAUGGCUCACCUAGGCGACGAGCCAUAGCUGGUCUGAGUGGAUGACCCGCCAGACUCGAUCUCAGGGACGGUCCGUACUCCUACGUGAGGUAGCAGGGGGGUAUAUUGCUCGAUGGGCGCGAGCCUGAUGCAGCCAUGCCUGGAGUAUGAAGAAGGCAUGCUGUAUGGAAAGUACUUUCAGCGAAGAGGCGUUUCUCGCAGAAGAAGCACCGGCUAACUCCGUGCCAGCAGCCGCGGUAAUU
RNAcentral lists this ribosomal RNA (405 nucleotides) under uncultured bacterium. Its description in RNAcentral is "partial 16S ribosomal RNA". It matches the Rfam family "Bacterial small subunit ribosomal RNA", at positions 30 to 525 of the family's 1533-position model. The record is from RNAcentral.